UACGUAGGGUGCGAGCGUUAAUCGGAAUUCCUGGGCGUAAAGCGUGCGCAGGCGGUUUUGUAAGCCCGAUGUGAAAUCCCCGGGCUUAACCUGGGAAUGGCAUUUGGGACUGCAAGGCUCGAGUGCGGCAGAGGAGACUGGAAUUCCUGGUGUAGCAGUGAAAUGCGUAGAUAUCAGGAGGAACACCGAUGGCGAAGGCAGGUCUCUGGGCUGACACUGGCGCUCAUGCACGAAAGCGUGGGGAGCAAACAGG
RNAcentral lists this ribosomal RNA (253 nucleotides) under uncultured bacterium. Its description in RNAcentral is "partial 16S ribosomal RNA". It matches the Rfam family "Bacterial small subunit ribosomal RNA", at positions 524 to 776 of the family's 1533-position model. The record is from RNAcentral.